CCCCCUUCWCGGGGGGCGGAGACUGGCCUCCCGUKCGCUCCCGUCGCGCGGCCGGCCC
Molecule: ribosomal RNA, 58 nt
Filed under: Dicliptera magaliesbergensis
Lineage: Eukaryota; Viridiplantae; Streptophyta; Magnoliopsida; Lamiales; Acanthaceae
Description: partial 5.8S ribosomal RNA
Source: RNAcentral